AAGGAAAGCUGGAGGCAGGCCUAACACAUGCGAGUCGAGCGGAUGAAGGGAGCUUGCUCCUGGAUUCAGCGGCGGACGGGUGAGUAAUGCCUAGGAAUCUGCCUGGUAGUGGGGGAUAACGUCCGGAAACGGGCGCUAAUACCGCAUACGUCCUGAGGGAGAAAGUGGGGGAUCUUCGGACCUCACGCUAUCAGAUGAGCCUAGGUCGGAUUAGCUAGUUGGUGGGGUAAAGGCCUACCAAGGCGACGAUCCGUAACUGGUCUGAGAGGAUGAUCAGUCACACUGGAACUGAGACACGGUCCAGACUCCUACGGGAGGCAGCAGUGGGGAAUAUUGGACAAUGGGCGAAAGCCUGAUCCAGCCAUGCCGCGUGUGUGAAGAAGGUCUUCGGAUUGUAAAGCACUUUAGGUUGGGAGGAAGGGCAGUAAGUUAAUACCUUGCUGUUUUGACGUUACCAACAGAAUAAGCACCGGCUAACUUCGUG
RNAcentral lists this ribosomal RNA (484 nucleotides) under uncultured bacterium. RNAcentral's name for it is "partial 16S ribosomal RNA". It matches the Rfam family "Bacterial small subunit ribosomal RNA", at positions 31 to 507 of the family's 1533-position model. The record is from RNAcentral.